This 47-nucleotide ribosomal RNA is filed under the name Syngonanthus weddellii. Its description in RNAcentral is "partial 26S ribosomal RNA". The record is from RNAcentral. Lineage: Eukaryota; Viridiplantae; Streptophyta; Magnoliopsida; Poales; Eriocaulaceae.
ACGGUGACCUCAGGUCAGGCGGGAGCACCCGCUGAAUUUAAGCAUAU